This 1129-nucleotide ribosomal RNA is filed under the name Pediococcus pentosaceus. Its description in RNAcentral is "bacterial SSU rRNA". It matches the Rfam family "Bacterial small subunit ribosomal RNA", at positions 56 to 1142 of the family's 1533-position model. The record is from RNAcentral. Lineage: Bacteria; Bacillati; Bacillota; Bacilli; Lactobacillales; Lactobacillaceae.
UGCAGUCGAACGAACUUCCGUUAAUUGAUUAUGACGUACUUGUACUGAUUGAGAUUUUAACACGAAGUGAGUGGCGAACGGGUGAGUAACACGUGGGUAACCUGCCCARAAKUAGGGGAUAACACCUGGAAACAGAUGCUAAUACCGUAUAACARARAAAACCGCAKGGUUUUCUUUUAAAARAUGGCUCUGCUAUCACUUCUGGAUGGACCCGCGGCGUAUUASCUAGUUGGUGAGGUAAAGGCUCACCAAGGCAGUGAUACGUASCCRACCUGARAGGGUAAUCGGCCACAUUGGGACUGARACACGGCCCAGACUCCUACGGGAGGCAGCAGUAGGGAAUCUUCCACAAUGGACGCAAGUCUGAUGGAGCAACGCCSCGUGAGUGAARAAGGGUUUCGGCUCGUAAAGCUCUGUUGUUAAARAAGAACGUGGGUAAGAGUAACUGUUUACCCAGUGACGGUAUUUAACCARAAAGCCACGGCUAACUACKUGCCASCASCCGCGGUAAUACGUAGGUGGCAAGCGUUAUCCGGAUUUAUUGGGCGUAAAGCGAGCGCAGGCGGUCUUUUAAGUCUAAUGUGAAAGCCUUCGGCUCAACCGAAGAAGUGCAUUGGAAACUGGGAGACUUGAGUGCAGAARAGGACAGUGGAACUCCAUGUGUAGCGGUGAAAUGCGUAGAUAUAUGGAAGAACACCAGUGGCGAAGGCGGCUGUCUGGUCUGCAACUGACGCUGAGGCUCGAAAGCAUGGGUAGCGAACAGGAUUAGAUACCCUGGUAGUCCAUGCCGUAAACGAUGAUUACUAAGUGUUGGAGGGUUUCCGCCCUUCAGUGCUGCAGCUAACGCAUUAAGUAAUCCGCCUGGGGAGUACGACCGCAAGGUUGAAACUCAAAAGAAUUGACGGGGGCCCGCACAAGCGGUGGAGCAUGUGGUUUAAUUCGAAGCUACGCGAAGAACCUUACCAGGUCUUGACAUCUUCUGACAGUCUAAGAGAUUAGAGGUUCCCUUCGGGGACAGAAUGACAGGUGGUGCAUGGUUGUCGUCAGCUCGUGUCGUGARAUGUUGGGUUAAGUCCCGCAACGAGCGCAACCCUUAUUACUAGUUGCCAGCAUUAAGUUGGGCACUCUA